ACUCCUACGGGAGGCAGCAGUGGGGAAUAUUGCACAAUGGGGGAAACCCUGAUGCAGCCAUGCCGCGUGUGUGAAGAAGGCCUUGGUUGUAAAGCACUUUCAGUAGGGAGGAAGGUAGUGUAGUUAACACCUGCAUUAUUUGACGUUACCUACAGAAGAAGCACCGGCUAACUCCGUGCCAGCAGCCGCGGUAAUACGGAGGUGCGAGCGUUAAUCGGAAUUACUGGGCGUAAAGCGCAUGCAGGCGGCCUGUUAAGUCAGAUGUGAAAGCCCGGGGCUUAACCUCGGAAUUGCAUUUGAAACUGGCAGGCUAGAGUCUUGUAGAGGGGUUAGAAUUUCAGGUGUAGCGGUGAAAUGCGUAGAGAUCUGAAGGAAUACCGAGUGGCGAAGGCGGCCCCCGUGGACAAA
This 408-nucleotide ribosomal RNA is filed under the name uncultured bacterium. Its description in RNAcentral is "bacterial SSU rRNA". It matches the Rfam family "Bacterial small subunit ribosomal RNA", at positions 335 to 737 of the family's 1533-position model. The record is from RNAcentral.